RNAcentral lists this long non-coding RNA (425 nucleotides) under Homo sapiens (human). RNAcentral describes it as "HSALNT0221801". The record is from RNAcentral. Lineage: Eukaryota; Metazoa; Chordata; Mammalia; Primates; Hominidae.
CCGGCCGGGCGGGCUUCACCGCGUGGGCGCGGCAGUCGCCACUCACCGAGGUUGACGACCUUGAGCGCCGUGAAGAAGCGGUUCUGCCGGGCCAGGUCCUGCCAGGGAGCCUUGGAGCAGUGUAACUCGGGCAGGGGAGGGAUUCGGGGAGGUCUCAUCAAUUUGGGCCUGAGGAAAAUUCAGGUGGAAGACAAUUAAAUAACUAACCACCUCCGCAAGGUGCAGAACUCAAACCCAAGUCUCCCUCCCACGCCCUGGGCUCCAGGGAAGCCCUUGGGUGUUGUUGUUGAAACAGGACGAGGCGUGACCCCGGGUCUGCGUUGUUUGGCGUGGGUUCUCACUAUGUUGCUUAAGCUGGUCCAGAACUCAAGCCAGUCUCUCACUUCAGCCUCUUGAGUCGUUGGGAUUACAGAAGCCACCAUGUC